UUAAGCGACUAAGCGUACACGGUGGAUGCCCUGGCAGUCAGAGGCGAUGAAGGACGUGCUAAUCUGCGAAAAGCGUCGGUAAGGUGAUAUGAACCGUUAUAACCGGCGAUGUCCGAAUGGGGAAACCCAGUGUGAUUCGUCACACUAUCGUUAACUGAAUACAUAGGUUAACGAGGCGAACCGGGGGAACUGAAACAUCUAAGUACCCCGAGGAAAGAAAUCAACCGAGAUUCCCCAGUAGCGGCGAGCGAACGGGAGCAGCCCAGAGUCUGAAUCAGCUUGUGUUAGUGGAACGGUCUGGAAAGUCCGACGGUACAGGGUGAUAGUCCCGUACACCAAAAUGCACAGGCUGUGAACUCGAAGAGUAGGGCGGGACACGUGGUAUCCUGUCUGAAUAUGGGGGGACCAUCCUCCAAGGCUAAAUACUCCUGACUGACCGAUAGUGAACCAGUACCGUGAGGGAAAGGCGAAAAGAACCCCGGCGAGGGGAGUGAAAAAGAACCUGAAACCGUGUACGUACAAGCAGUGGGAGCACCUUCGGGUGUGACUGCGUACCUUUUGUAUAAUGGGUCAGCGACUUAUAUUCUGUAGCAAGGUUAACCGUAUAGGGAGCCGCAGGAAACCGAGUCUUAACUGGGCGUUAAGUUGCAGGGUAUAGACCCGAAACCCGGUGAUCUAGCCAUGGGCAGGUUGAAGGUUGGGUAACACUAACUGGAGGACCGAACCGACUAAUGUUGAAAAAUUAGCGGAUGACUUGUGGCUGGGGUGAAAGGCCAAUCAAACCGGGAGAUAGCUGGUUCUCCCGAAAGCUAUUUAGGUAGCGCCUCGUGAACUCAUCUUCGGGGUAGAGCACUGUUUCGGCUAGGGGGUCAUCCCGACUUACCAACCCGAUGCAAACUACGAAUACCGAAGAAUGUUAUCACGGGAGACACACGGCGGGUGCUAACGUCCGUCGUGAAGAGGAAACAACCCAGACCGCCAGCUAAGGUCCCAAAGUCAUGGUUAAGUGGGAAACGAUGUGGGAAGGCACAGACAGCCAGGAUGUUGGCUUAGAAGCAGCCAUCAUUUAAAGAAAGCGUAAUAGCUCACUGGUCGAGUCGGCCUGCGCGGAAGAUGUAACGGGGCUAAACCAUGCACCGAAGCUGCGGCAGCGACACUAUGUGUUGUUGGGUAGGGGAGCGUUCUGUAAGCCUGCGAAGGUGUGCUGUGAGGCAUGCUGGAGGUAUCAGAAGUGCGAAUGCUGACAUAAGUAACGAUAAAGCGGGUGAAAAGCCCGCUCGCCGGAAGACCAAGGGUUCCUGUCCAACGUUAAUCGGGGCAGGGUGAGUCGACCCCUAAGGCGAGGCCGAAAGGCGUAGUCGAUGGGAAACAGGUUAAUAUUCCUGUACUUGGUGUUACUGCGAAGGGGGGACGGAGAAGGCUAUGUUAGCCGGGCGACGGUUGUCCCGGUUUAAGCAUGUAGGCUGGUUAUCCAGGCAAAUCCGGAUAAUCAAGGCUGAGGUGUGAUGACGAGGCACUACGGUGCUGAAGUAACAAAUGCCCUGCUUCCAGGAAAAGCCUCUAAGCAUCAGGUAACAUCAAAUCGUACCCCAAACCGACACAGGUGGUCAGGUAGAGAAUACCAAGGCGCUUGAGAGAACUCGGGUGAAGGAACUAGGCAAAAUGGUGCCGUAACUUCGGGAGAAGGCACGCUGGUGUGUAGGUGAAGUCCCUGCGGAUGGAGCUGAGACCAGUCGAAGAUACCAGCUGGCUGCAACUGUUUAUUAAAAACACAGCACUGUGCAAACACGAAAGUGGACGUAUACGGUGUGACGCCUGCCCGGUGCCGGAAGGUUAAUUGAUGGGGUUAUCCGUAAGGAGAAGCUCUUGAUCGAAGCCCCGGUAAACGGCGGCCGUAACUAUAACGGUCCUAAGGUAGCGAAAUUCCUUGUCGGGUAAGUUCCGACCUGCACGAAUGGCGUAAUGAUGGCCAGGCUGUCUCCACCCGAGACUCAGUGAAAUUGAACUCGCUGUGAAGAUGCAGUGUACCCGCGGCAAGACGGAAAGACCCCGUGAACCUUUACUAUAGCUUGACACUGAACAUUGAGCCUUGAUGUGUAGGAUAGGUGGGAGGCUUUGAAGCGUGGACGCCAGUCUGCGUGGAGCCAACCUUGAAAUACCACCCUUUAAUGUUUGAUGUUCUAACGUUGGCCCCUGACCGGGGUUGCGGACAGUGUCUGGUGGGUAGUUUGACUGGGGCGGUCUCCUCCCAAAGCGUAACGGAGGAGCACGAAGGUUAGCUAAUCCUGGUCGGACAUCAGGAGGUUAGUGCAAUGGCAUAAGCUAGCUUGACUGCGAGCGUGACGGCGCGAGCAGGUGCGAAAGCAGGUCAUAGUGAUCCGGUGGUUCUGAAUGGAAGGGCCAUCGCUCAACGGAUAAAAGGUACUCCGGGGAUAACAGGCUGAUACCGCCCAAGAGUUCAUAUCGACGGCGGUGUUUGGCACCUCGAUGUCGGCUCAUCACAUCCUGGGGCUGAAGUAGGUCCCAAGGGUAUGGCUGUUCGCCAUUUAAAGUGGUACGCGAGCUGGGUUUAGAACGUCGUGAGACAGUUCGGUCCCUAUCUGCCGUGGGCGCUGGAGAAUUGAGGGGGGCUGCUCCUAGUACGAGAGGACCGGAGUGGACGCAUCACUGGUGUUCGGGUUGUCAUGCCAAUGGCACUGCCCGGUAGCUAAAUGCGGAAGAGAUAAGUGCUGAAAGCAUCUAAGCACGAAACUUGCCCCGAGAUGAGUUCUCCCUGAGACUAUAAGUCUCCUGAAGGAACGUUAAAGACGAUGACGUUGAUAGGCCGGGUGUGUAAGCGCAGCGAUGCGUUGAGCUAACCGGUACUAAUGAACCGUGAGGCUUAACCU
Molecule: ribosomal RNA, 2888 nt
Filed under: Klebsiella pneumoniae
Lineage: Bacteria; Pseudomonadati; Pseudomonadota; Gammaproteobacteria; Enterobacterales; Enterobacteriaceae
Description: bacterial LSU rRNA
Rfam family: Bacterial large subunit ribosomal RNA
Source: RNAcentral